GACGAACGCUGGCGGCGUGCUUAACACAUGCAAGUCGAACGGUGAAGGGACCAGCUUGCUGGUUCUGGAUGAGUGGCGAACGGGUGAGUAACACGUGAGUAACCUGCCCCCUUCUUCUGGAUAACCGCAUGAAAGUGUGGCUAAUACGGGAUAUUCUGGGUCUGUCGCAUGGCGGGCCCGGGAAAGAUAUUGCUUCGGUGGGGGAUGGGCUCGCGGACUAUCAGCUUGUUGGUGGGGUGAUGGCCUACCAAGGCGGUGACGGGUAGCCGGCCUGAGAGGGUGGACGGUUACACUUGAACUGAGACACGGCCCAGUCUCCGACGCGAGGCAGCGGUGGGGAGGAUUGCACAAUGGGCGCAAGCCUGAUGCAGCGACGCCGCGGGAGGGAUGGAGGCCUUCGGGAUGUAAACCUCUUUCGCCAGUGAAGCAGGCCUGCUCCUUGUGGGUGGGUUGACGGUAGCUGGAGAAGAAGCGCCGGCUAACUACGUG
This 489-nucleotide ribosomal RNA is filed under the name uncultured bacterium. RNAcentral's name for it is "partial 16S ribosomal RNA". It matches the Rfam family "Bacterial small subunit ribosomal RNA", at positions 28 to 507 of the family's 1533-position model. The record is from RNAcentral.